CAAUUACUUUACCGUAUACCAACUCUGCAAUCUCAAUUUUUCUCUCCAUUGCUUUCUGUCAAUCUGGUUUUCUGAAAAUGCAGCGACAAUAAUUAAAAAAGAAGGAAGAAGAGUAUGAAACUAUUUUUGCUUUUGCGGUAUUCCCAUUUUAUCUUGGCAUUGUAGAGUUGGUGGUGGGUCAUGAUAAUUUAACAAAGCAAAGGACGGGUUGGUUCUGCUGGAAACAAGUUCAAAAUGUCACUGGGUUUGCCAGUGGCAGCGGUGGUGAGCUGUGCUGAUAAAACUGUUGUAGGCUAAGAAUCUUUACAUCAUAUCGGUGAAAGAAAUGAAGGAUUGCCUCAACAGAACGCCACGUGAACCCCAAAACAGACAGAAACUUGCAAGAGAAAACCAGUGAACCACAAAAUUGUUACUCAGACAUUAGUAAGGUAUCCUGCUCAACAAACUAUGGCUGAUACAGUUACAGGUCUGGGAAAUUAAACCGAGUCCAUCGUUACAGAUGUGAUGACCUUUUUGUCAUGCUCACAUCUACUCCAUUGGGGCUUUACAGUCAUGUCAGCAAGCUCCAAUGGUGGAAACCUAUAAGAACAACUUAUUUCCAGGAACCCCUGUUAGAGCCGCCAUUGGCCUAAUAUGGGAGAGAGAUGAGCUUCUGGACUAUCAAUUUUCUUAGAGGCAUGGCUCUGGUGUAUUAUUUUCAAUCCUGGGCUUAUGACAUCUGUAUCAAUAAUAUUCUCUUAAUACAGUUAUCCAUUUCCAAGAACCCCUGUUAGAACCGCCGUUGGCCUAAUAUGGGAGGGAGAUGAGCUUCUGGAAUAUCAAUUUUCUUAGAGGCAUGGCUCUGGUGUAUUAUUUUCAAUCCUGGGCUUAAGACAUUUUUAUCAAUAAUAUUCUAUUGAUACAGUUAUCCAUUUCAUGCUUCUGCUUUUUGGGCAUUUUUGAGCCUUGAAUUGCAUACCAGAAUUUUGUACCAGUUAUUUUCAUAUUUGACCCACUUUCUGUUUGUUCUGGAAUAAUGGUCAGAAGGGAGACAGUGAUGUUGUUUUCAUCUUUUAGUUCAGAAAAUGGACAUUAGUAAGAGCCUUAGUCCUGGCAAGGUAAUUCAGUGUCGGUUACAAUCGUGGCCUUUUUAUACAAAUGCUGAUGAUGCAGCCAUGGUGAGGCUCUUCUCUUCUGUCUCUUGCCUGUGUAAAGAUGAAUCUGAGUCUUUUUAUCUGAAACCCUGCUAUUAGGGUUACACUCAUGAGUCAUUAGUUUAAGUAUGAGGCUCCACUCUUUGAGAGAAGGUUGUCUUGAUAGCUGUUGCCCUCUUGAAGUUGCUGUGUUAGCCAAUGAUCAUUAUAAUUGAGUUUACCAAACAGCUCUCCACAUACAUACACGCACCCAAACAUAUAUUUCUUUCUGCUUCUACUGGGAUUCAGCUACUUCUUCUUCUUCUUCUUGCUACUACGAGGCAAUGAUGAUGUUUUCUGCAAUUAGACCAGAUAUGAGUGAAGAGCUGUGUCCUGGCUAGGUGACUUGGCAUCUGUGUGAAAUUUACCUUCUGGUUCUUGCACAGAUGCUAUUGACGCAGCCUGUGCACAAGCCAUUCCUUUGCUGUCUGAAAAAAGGCGAAUCUGAGCCUCCUUUAUUCAUAAUAAUUUUAACUUUCUGACAAUUAUGAAUUUAUAUUUUCCUUCUGAAUGCUUUAAUAUGGCAGGUGACAGGAACACAUUAGUUUACUCCGUUCAUUGUUCACCAAUAUGGCCGAUACUUUUUAUUGCACUUAAACUAGUGCUUUCCUUUGGCUUCCAAUGUUUCUGCAUUUGUAUGUGACUUGGGGAGUGACAUGUGGCUGAAAAGUGUCCUUUUUGAGCAAUUGAUAAUAGUUUUAUUUUUGAGCCGUGUUAGCAAGCUCCAAUGGUGGAAACCCAUAAGAACUACUUAUUUCUUAGAUGGGAGAGGGACGAGGUUUUGGGCAAUGAAUUUUCUGAAGAGGAUCUCUGCACAGAAACAAAAAUGAAAGGAAAAGAGAAACAUUUAGCCAAAAAUCGAGGACUAUUGAAAGAAAAGUAGAGGUAAUGGUACUCACCUAAAGAUAAUUUUAGUCCAACCAUAGUAACCAACUGCUACAAGGUUGUCGAUUGUGGCUGAUCUGAGAU
Vigna angularis (adzuki bean) is the source of this 2141-nucleotide long non-coding RNA. RefSeq lists it as uncharacterized. The transcript has 6 exons. The record is from RefSeq and is a predicted model, not a curated record. Lineage: Eukaryota; Viridiplantae; Streptophyta; Magnoliopsida; Fabales; Fabaceae.